CCUGACUCCCGCUCCCCCUCCUCCCCCAGCCUACUUCUCCCUGCAGGUGAUCUCGGCGCGCAGGGCCUUCCGCGUGUCGCCGCCGCUCACCACCGGCCCACCCGAGUUCGAGCGCGUCUACCGAGCCCAGUGAGGCGCGGCGGGAGGGCGCGGGGCGGGGAGCGAGCCCCAGGCGGGUCCGGGUCGCAGGACCAUCCCGGCCGGCGCGCUCAUCCCACCCGCCCACCGCAGGGUGAACUGCAGCGAGUACUUCCCGCUGUUCCUCGCCACGCUCUGGGUCGCCGGCAUCUUCUUUCAUGAAGGGGCGGCGGCCCUGUGCGGCCUGGUCUACCUGUUCGCGCGCCUCCGCUACUUCCAGGGCUACGCGCGCUCCGCGCAGCUCAGGCUGGCACCCCUGUACGCGAGCGCGCGCGCCCUCUGGCUGCUGGUGGCGCUGGCUGCGCUCGGCCUGCUCGCCCACUUCCUCCCGGCCGCGCCGCGCGCCGCGCUCCUCGGACGGCUCCGGAC
RNAcentral lists this small RNA (507 nucleotides) under Pan troglodytes (chimpanzee). RNAcentral's name for it is "retained intron". The record is from RNAcentral. Lineage: Eukaryota; Metazoa; Chordata; Mammalia; Primates; Hominidae.